UAACCUAUUGGUAUUAUAUGUACAUUUGCACACUAGCGCGCCAGUGUAGCACCGCUUGUGUCUACGUAAUAAAUGUAGUUCAGUCUUCCCUCUUAAACACUAGUUUGUUAUUUGUAUAAACACAAAUGUAGAAUGCCAGUAAGUCGACCACAGAUCACGAUCUAACAGAAUGCAGGAGAGCCGCUGGUCGCCCACUUUUACUGUAUACGGAUGUAUGCAAACGCUCUUUAAAAUCGACACUAGCAGCUGGGAAUAGGUGGCACUGGAUAGAUCCACAUGGAGAGAGCAUAAAGGAAAGGUAUCGGAUUGCAGAAGGGUGAAAAUGCAACGGCGCCUGGUGAUUACAUUUGCCUAACCUGUGACCACGGCUGUGUAUCGAAGAUUGGCCUAUAUUCACACAAGAAAAGAUCGUCUCUCGAGAGGUACAUGCUUGUUACCAACCUAAAAAUGGAAUUAUCCAAAAACCUGUGGCUCUGACGAUAAAAUUCCACUGCAUCAUCUUAGCCUGCGUGUUGACAAUAGAAAUAAAAGUGUAGUUGUGCACAUCAA
Molecule: long non-coding RNA, 549 nt
Organism: Biomphalaria glabrata
Lineage: Eukaryota; Metazoa; Mollusca; Gastropoda; Planorbidae
Exons: 2
Source: RefSeq, a predicted model, not a curated record